UGAUCCUACGGGGGGCAGCAGUGGGGAAUAUUGCACAAUGGGGGAAACCCUGAUGCAGCGACGCCGCGUGAGUGAAGAAGUAUUUCGGUAUGUAAAGCUCUAUCAGCAGGGAAGAAAAAAGACGGUACCUGACUAAGAAGCCCCGGCUAACUACGUGCCAGCAGCCGCGGUAAUACGUAGGGGGCAAGCGUUAUCCGGAUUCACUGGGCGUAAAGGGAGCGCAGGCGGCACGGCAAGUCUGGUGUGAAAACCCGGGGCUCAACCCCGGGACUGCAUUGGAAACUGCCGGGC
This 291-nucleotide ribosomal RNA is filed under the name uncultured bacterium. RNAcentral's name for it is "partial 16S ribosomal RNA". It matches the Rfam family "Bacterial small subunit ribosomal RNA", at positions 334 to 641 of the family's 1533-position model. The record is from RNAcentral.